GGUUAAGUGACUAAGCGUACACGGUGGAUGCCUUGGCAAUC
Molecule: ribosomal RNA, 41 nt
Filed under: Photobacterium damselae subsp. damselae
Lineage: Bacteria; Pseudomonadati; Pseudomonadota; Gammaproteobacteria; Vibrionales; Vibrionaceae
Description: partial 23S ribosomal RNA
Source: RNAcentral